RNAcentral lists this ribosomal RNA (2933 nucleotides) under Salmonella enterica subsp. diarizonae serovar 65:c:z str. SA20044251. Its description in RNAcentral is "bacterial LSU rRNA". It matches the Rfam family "Bacterial large subunit ribosomal RNA". Lineage: Bacteria; Pseudomonadati; Pseudomonadota; Gammaproteobacteria; Enterobacterales; Enterobacteriaceae. The record is from RNAcentral.
GGGUUGUGAGGUUAAGCGACCAAGCGUACACGGUGGAUGCCCUGGCAGUCAGAGGCGAUGAAGGACGUGCUAAUCUGCGAAAAGCGCCGGUAAGGUGAUAUGAACCGUUAUAACCGGCGAUGUCCGAAUGGGGAAACCCAGUGUGACUCGUCACACUAUCAUUAACUGAAUCCAUAGGUUAAUGAGGCGAACCGGGGGAACUGAAACAUCUAAGUACCCCGAGGAAAAGAAAUCAACCGAGAUUCCCCCAGUAGCGGCGAGCGAACGGGGAGGAGCCCAGAGCCUGAAUCAGCAUGUGUGUUAGUGGAAGCGUCUGGAAAGGCGCGCGAUACAGGGUGAGAGCCCCGUACACAAAAGCGCAUAUGCUGUGAGCUCGAUGAGUAGGGCGGGACACGUGGUAUCCUGUCUGAAUAUGGGGGGACCAUCCUCCAAGGCUAAAUACUCCUGACUGACCGAUAGUGAACCAGUACCGUGAGGGAAAGGCGAAAAGAACCCCGGCGAGGGGAGUGAAACAGAACCUGAAACCGUGUACGUACAAGCAGUGGGAGCCUCUCUUUAUGGGGGGUGACUGCGUACCUUUUGUAUAAUGGGUCAGCGACUUAUAUUCUGUAGCAAGGUUAACCGCAUAGGGGAGCCGAAGGGAAACCGAGUCUUAAUUGGGCGUUAAGUUGCAGGGUAUAGACCCGAAACCCGGUGAUCUAGCCAUGGGCAGGUUGAAGGUUGGGUAACACUAACUGGAGGACCGAACCGACUAAUGUUGAAAAAUUAGCGGAUGACCUGUGGCUGGGGGUGAAAGGCCAAUCAAACCGGGAGAUAGCUGGUUCUCCCCGAAAGCUAUUUAGGUAGCGCCUCGUGAACUCAUCUCCGGGGGUAGAGCACUGUUUCGGCUAGGGGGCCAUCCCGGCUUACCAACCCGAUGCAAACUGCGAAUACCGGAGAAUGUUAUCACGGGAGACACACGGCGGGUGCUAACGUCCGUCGUGAAGAGGGAAACAACCCAGACCGCCAGCUAAGGUCCCAAAGUCAUGGUUAAGUGGGAAACGAUGUGGGAAGGCCCAGACAGCCAGGAUGUUGGCUUAGAAGCAGCCAUCAUUUAAAGAAAGCGUAAUAGCUCACUGGUCGAGUCGGCCUGCGCGGAAGAUGUAACGGGGCUAAACCAUGCACCGAAGCUGCGGCAGCGACACUUUAGUGUUGUUGGGUAGGGGAGCGUUCUGUAAGCCGUUGAAGGUGUCCUGUGAGGGGUGCUGGAGGUAUCAGAAGUGCGAAUGCUGACAUAAGUAACGAUAAAGCGGGUGAAAAGCCCGCUCGCCGGAAGACCAAGGGUUCCUGUCCAACGUUAAUCGGGGCAGGGUGAGUCGACCCCUAAGGCGAGGCCGAAAGGCGUAGUCGAUGGGAAACGGGUUAAUAUUCCCGUACUUGGUGUUACUGCGAAGGGGGGACGGAGAAGGCUAUGUUGGCCGGGCGACGGUAGUCCCGGUUUAAGCGUGUAGGCUGGUUUUCCAGGCAAAUCCGGAAAAUCAAGGCUGAGGCGUGAUGACGAGGCACCACGGUGCUGAAGCAACAAAUGCCCUGCUUCCAGGAAAAGCCUCUAAGCAUCAGGUAACAUCAAAUCGUACCCCAAACCGACACAGGUGGUCAGGUAGAGAAUACCAAGGCGCUUGAGAGAACUCGGGUGAAGGAACUAGGCAAAAUGGUGCCGUAACUUCGGGAGAAGGCACGCUGACACGUAGGUGAAGUGAUUUACUCAUGGAGCUGAAGUCAGUCGAAGAUACCAGCUGGCUGCAACUGUUUAUUAAAAACACAGCACUGUGCAAACACGAAAGUGGACGUAUACGGUGUGACGCCUGCCCGGUGCCGGAAGGUUAAUUGAUGGGGUCAGCGCAAGCGAAGCUCCUGAUCGAAGCCCCGGUAAACGGCGGCCGUAACUAUAACGGUCCUAAGGUAGCGAAAUUCCUUGUCGGGUAAGUUCCGACCUGCACGAAUGGCGUAAUGAUGGCCAGGCUGUCUCCACCCGAGACUCAGUGAAAUUGAACUCGCUGUGAAGAUGCAGUGUACCCGCGGCAAGACGGAAAGACCCCGUGAACCUUUACUAUAGCUUGACACUGAACAUUGAGCCUUGAUGUGUAGGAUAGGUGGGAGGCUUUGAAGCGUGGACGCCAGUCUGCGUGGAGCCGACCUUGAAAUACCACCCUUUAAUGUUUGAUGUUCUAACGUGGACCCGUAAUCCGGGUUGCGGACAGUGUCUGGUGGGUAGUUUGACUGGGGCGGUCUCCUCCUAAAGAGUAACGGAGGAGCACGAAGGUUGGCUAAUCCUGGUCGGACAUCAGGAGGUUAGUGCAAUGGCAUAAGCCAGCUUGACUGCGAGCGUGACGGCGCGAGCAGGUGCGAAAGCAGGUCAUAGUGAUCCGGUGGUUCUGAAUGGAAGGGCCAUCGCUCAACGGAUAAAAGGUACUCCGGGGAUAACAGGCUGAUACCGCCCAAGAGUUCAUAUCGACGGCGGUGUUUGGCACCUCGAUGUCGGCUCAUCACAUCCUGGGGCUGAAGUAGGUCCCAAGGGUAUGGCUGUUCGCCAUUUAAAGUGGUACGCGAGCUGGGUUUAGAACGUCGUGAGACAGUUCGGUCCCUAUCUGCCGUGGGCGCUGGAAGACUGAGGGGGGCUGCUCCUAGUACGAGAGGACCGGAGUGGACGCAUCACUGGUGUUCGGGUUGUCAUGCCAAUGGCACUGCCCGGUAGCUAAAUGCGGAAAAGAUAAGUGCUGAAAGCAUCUAAGCACGAAACUUGCCCCGAGAUGAGUCUUCCCUGAGACUUUGAGUCUCCUGAAGGAACGUUAAAGACGAUGACGUUGAUAGGCCGGGUGUGUAAGCGCAGCGAUGCGUUGAGCUAACCGGUACUAAUGAACCGUGAGGCUUAACCUUACAACGCCGAAGCUGUU